Molecule: long non-coding RNA, 252 nt
Organism: Cyprinodon tularosa
Lineage: Eukaryota; Metazoa; Chordata; Actinopteri; Cyprinodontiformes; Cyprinodontidae
Exons: 3
Source: RefSeq, a predicted model, not a curated record
AGUGCCAGAGUGUUAGCCAGUAAUGAACCUGACCUGUCUGAAAACCUGAAACCGGGAAAGUGACUCAGUCUGGAAUCUGCCUGCCUGCAUUCGGUCAGUCUCUGCAUGCCGACAAACCUCUGGACCCUCAGGGUUACCCCCCUCCUGCUGAUCUGAUCCGCCCCAGAGCAGUGGUGAUCCUCCCGUGACCAGUCGGACCAACCCAGUUCCAGUGCACAUUUGAAAACUCUGUGAAUAAAUCUUUGAACUUUU